Molecule: transfer RNA, 76 nt
Filed under: Pseudomonas fluorescens
Lineage: Bacteria; Pseudomonadati; Pseudomonadota; Gammaproteobacteria; Pseudomonadales; Pseudomonadaceae
Description: tRNA-Ala
Rfam family: tRNA
About the family: Transfer RNA (tRNA) molecules are approximately 80 nucleotides in length. Their secondary structure includes four short double-helical elements and three loops (D, anti-codon, and T loops).
Source: RNAcentral
GGUACCUUAGCUCAGUUGGUAGAGCGCCUGCUUUGCAAGCAGGAUGUCAGGAGUUCGAAUCUCCUAGGCUCCACCA